RNAcentral lists this ribosomal RNA (253 nucleotides) under uncultured bacterium. RNAcentral describes it as "partial 16S ribosomal RNA". It matches the Rfam family "Bacterial small subunit ribosomal RNA", at positions 524 to 776 of the family's 1533-position model. The record is from RNAcentral.
UACGGAGGGGGUUAGCGUUGUUCGGAAUUACUAGGCGUAAAGCGCGCGUAGGCGGAUUAGAAAGUUGGGGGUGAAAUCCCGGGGCUCAACCCCGGAACUGCCUCCAAAACUACUAGUCUAGAGUUCGAGAGGGGUGAGUGGAAUUCCGAGUGUAGAGGUGAAAUUCGUAGAUAUUCGGAGGAACACCAGUGACGAAGGCGGCUCACUGGCUCGAUACUGACGCUGAGGUGCGAAAGUGUGGGGAGCAAACAGG